RNAcentral lists this ribosomal RNA (253 nucleotides) under uncultured bacterium. RNAcentral describes it as "partial 16S ribosomal RNA". It matches the Rfam family "Bacterial small subunit ribosomal RNA", at positions 524 to 776 of the family's 1533-position model. The record is from RNAcentral.
UACGUAGGGGGCAAGCGUUGUCCGGAAUCAUUGGGCGUAAAGCGCGUGUAGGCGGCUUGGUAAGUCCGCUCUGAAAGCCCGGGGCUCAACCCCGGGAGGCGGGUGGAUACUGUCAAGCUCGAGUCCGGAAGAGGCGAGUGGAAUUCCUGGCGUAGCGGUGAAAUGCGCAGAUAUCAGGAGGAACACCAAUGGCGAAGGCAGCUCGCUGGGACGUGACUGACGCUGAGACGCGAAAGCGUGGGGAGCAAACAGG